This 546-nucleotide ribosomal RNA is filed under the name uncultured Bacteroidota bacterium. RNAcentral's name for it is "bacterial SSU rRNA". It matches the Rfam family "Bacterial small subunit ribosomal RNA", at positions 495 to 1045 of the family's 1533-position model. The record is from RNAcentral. Lineage: Bacteria; Pseudomonadati; Bacteroidota.
GGCUAACUCCGUGCCAGCAGCCGCGGUAAUACGGAGGAUCCAAGCGUUAUCCGGAUUUAUUGGGUUUAAAGGGUGCGUAGGCGGCCUAUUAAGUCAGGGGUGAAAGACGGUAGCUCAACUAUCGCAGUGCCUUUGAUACUGAUGGGCUUGAAUGUACUUGAAGUAGGCGGAAUGUGACAAGUAGCGGUGAAAUGCAUAGAUAUGUCACAGAACACCGAUUGCGAAGGCAGCUUACUAAAGUAUGAUUGACGCUGAGGCACGAAAGCGUGGGGAUCAAACAGGAUUAGAUACCCUGGUAGUCCACGCCCUAAACGAUGAAUACUCGAUGUUGGCGAUAUACGGUCAGCGUCUAAGCGAAAGCGUUAAGUAUUCCACCUGGGGAGUACGCCCGCAAGGGUGAAACUCAAAGGAAUUGACGGGGGCCCGCACAAGCGGAGGAGCAUGUGGUUUAAUUCGAUGAUACGCGAGGAACCUUACCCGGGCUUGAAAGUUAGUGAAUGAAGCAGAAACGCUUCAGUCCUUCGGGACACGAAACUAGGUGCUGCA